CACAGCCACAGGGGUGGGGCUGCCGAGGCAAGGGACGGCCAGUCCUUUGAGAAACUGGAAGGAGUAUGGGGAGGAAGAAGCAGCAGCAGCAGGACAACAGUCUGGAAAGGAGCAGCCAAGGGAGAAGUGGGACAAUCAGGGGAGUCUCGAGCUGGAGGAGGAAACGUGCGGCAGAACUCUUCGCCCGGAACAGACCUGCAGCGGAUGUUUGCUGGACGUUGAUUGAAGGAGGAAGGGGAAGUGAGAGCAGCUCAGAGAGGAGUCCCUUCUCCCUGUGACUCCGGGAAAGUUUGGUCCCGCUGAAGCAGGAUGCAGCCGUUCUUCCAAAGUGAAGGCCCCACCUGCACCCGUGGUGUUCCAAACUUCAUUGUUUAUGCGCCACAUCUAGUACAUUAUUUUUUCUUAAAUGGAAAAAUACAACCCAGCCCACCAGUGGGCUGACAGUUCUUGGUGACCAUAACCACCA
Mustela erminea (ermine) is the source of this 466-nucleotide long non-coding RNA. RefSeq lists it as uncharacterized. The transcript has 3 exons. NCBI's taxonomy places the organism in Eukaryota, Metazoa, Chordata, Mammalia, Carnivora, Mustelidae. The record is from RefSeq and is a predicted model, not a curated record.